This 77-nucleotide microRNA precursor is filed under the name Leptotrombidium deliense. RNAcentral describes it as "microRNA mir-263". Lineage: Eukaryota; Metazoa; Arthropoda; Arachnida; Trombidiformes; Trombiculidae. The record is from RNAcentral.
UUCUCGACUCACCGACAUCGCAAUUCACCGACAUUGUUUUAUUUUGUCGGUGAAUUGCGAUGUCGGUGAGUCGAGAG